UCCAAAAUUUGCCCUAAAUGCACGCUCCUUCUCGCCCUAAAUACACUUCUUCUCGAUUCUCUUCCAUCUUCUGCAGCGACGGCGACAAGGGGGAGGCGCUGGUCUAGGGUUGCUGCUGUCGGUCUGGCCGAGGUGCCGGCGACAAUGGGGAGGCGGUGGCGGCGAGCAUGGGGCCGCUGGAGGCCGACAGCAGUAGGGCGGCGCAGCUCUUCCGCGGCGACGAUUUCCGUCAGGAACUGUUUAAAUUGCUAGUUGAAGGGCACUUUAUUUGAAAGGGAUGAACAAAUGAGAGAAAGAGAUCGUGAAAUGAGAGAUGUGCCGACAACAAGACUGGAUUUUGCAACAUCUUCAGUUGAGUUCUACUUUGAAUUAGUUUCCUCCGGGUGACGGUGAUGAUGAUGAUGGUGAUAAUGAUGGCAGUGGUGGUGCUUCUUCUGAAAUUACAUAAGAAAAGAUGAACGAAAAAAGGCGAGUUUGCACCCUGAGGUAUGAUGAUAUGUAUUUUUUGCUUUCACUUGUUAGGUUUGUUGUAUAGAAUUUAUUAUGAGUUCUUAAAGUUUGAUUUGUUUGAGUUUAACUUGUUUGGAUGUUAUAAUUGUAUAUGAAUUUGAAAUAUUUAGUUUUAGAUGUCUUUUUUAUGUUUAGUUGACGAUAUGUAUUUUGUAUGAACUUGUUUGUAUUAAUUUAAUUUGUUGGAUUCACAAAUA
Zingiber officinale is the source of this 707-nucleotide long non-coding RNA. RefSeq lists it as uncharacterized. NCBI's taxonomy places the organism in Eukaryota, Viridiplantae, Streptophyta, Magnoliopsida, Zingiberales, Zingiberaceae. The transcript has 3 exons. The record is from RefSeq and is a predicted model, not a curated record.